RNAcentral lists this ribosomal RNA (443 nucleotides) under uncultured bacterium. RNAcentral's name for it is "partial 16S ribosomal RNA". It matches the Rfam family "Bacterial small subunit ribosomal RNA", at positions 338 to 795 of the family's 1533-position model. The record is from RNAcentral.
CCUACGGGUGGCAGCAGUGGGGAAUAUUGGACAAUGGGCGCAAGCCUGACCCAGCAACGCCGCGUGAGGGAAGAAGGCUUUCGGGAUGUAAACCUCUAUUCGCAGGGAAGAAAAAAAUGACAGUCGCUGAGGAAUCAGCCACUGCUAACUACAUGCCAGCAGCCGCGGUACUACGGAGGUGGCAAGAGUUAGCCGGAUUUAGUGGGUGUAAAGGGAGUGUAGGCGGCAGCGCAAGGCAGGAGUGAAAACUCAGGGCUUAACCCUGAGCCUGCUUUUGAAACUGUGUUUCUUGAGUGCUGGAGAGGUAAGCGGAAGUCCUGGUGUAGCGGUGAAAUGCGUAGAUAUAAGGAGGAACACCAGUGGCGAAGGCGGCUUGCUGGACAGUAACUGACGCUGAGGCGCGAAAGCGUGGGGAGCAAACAGGAUUAGAUACCCGUGUAGUC